This is a long non-coding RNA of Saccostrea echinata, 473 nucleotides long. RefSeq lists it as uncharacterized. The record is from RefSeq and is a predicted model, not a curated record. NCBI's taxonomy places the organism in Eukaryota, Metazoa, Mollusca, Bivalvia, Ostreida, Ostreidae. The transcript is spliced from 3 exons.
GAAUUGUGUCUGUAGUAGUGGGUUUUACUUGUCAUCAAGAGACUCACACAAAGUCUGUAAUCUAAAUAUUGCACCAGAUUUGGAAACCUGCCGACUGGGCGUACAAAAUAGUGGAGGUGAAGCACGUAAUUCAACAUCAAAAGGACCAUGCCUCCAGGAGAAAUACAACUAUAUGAAGUUUCAACCGAAGUAUUCAUCUGUUGAGUUUACAUUCGGAAGCACAAUAAAUGUUUCAGCAAAUAUUCCAGACCAUAUUUCAGAAUACCAAUUCGGUAUCGUUAACUCAACGAUUUUAGUUUCAACAAGAAAUAUCAAUGGACAUCAACACAACCAUAAGUAUUUAAAUCUCAAGCAGACUAACAGUUGCUCCAGAAAUAAUUUUACCGACACAAAUCCCAUAUCAACCAUAAAUACCUGUAAAAUGACUAUUGAAACACCAUGGAUAAUACAGGAUGGGGAACAGUAAGUAAUUG